Lupinus albus (white lupine) is the source of this 889-nucleotide non-coding RNA. NCBI's taxonomy places the organism in Eukaryota, Viridiplantae, Streptophyta, Magnoliopsida, Fabales, Fabaceae. The record is from the annotation of a GenBank genome assembly.
GUACUUUAGUUUGAUGGUUAUUUUUUAGUGACAUGGUGGUAGUGAUGAUUUUAGAGAAUGGUUUAUGUGGAGAAGAGGAUUAGAAGAGAAAGAUGGGGUAUGAGAAGUGUGAACUAUAUGGGUAAAAGGGCCUUUAUGGUUUAGUCAUAAUAUGGUUUUAUAUAGAUGGAAAAUGAGUUGGGAUUCUCUCCAUUAACGGAGAGUGAAAUAAUAAUUUUACACUUAGUUUUAAGUAUAAAAAUGUUAUUAUAAGUGUAAAUAGAAUAAUAUAAUUUUUUUUAUUUAUUUUGUCUUGUUUUAUACAUCACUUUUUUCUCUAUUAAUGGAGAUGAUAAGUACUCGUGAGAUAGAGUUGGUUAUUUUGUAUCAUUAAAUUUUUGACAAACUAUUUACAUGGUUAAAUUUGAUACUUGGACAGAGCAUGUUACAUGAGUUCAUAUCCUUUUUCAUUUUAUAUAAAGGAAUUCAGUACUUAAAUAGUUUAUUAUGUUUUAUAAAAAUAUGAAAAUAAUGGCAUGCUAAAUGUCUAAUUGGUAUUUAAAAAUCAUUAUUAGGAGGAAAAUAGAGUGACGGAGAAAUACUCUAAUGAGCUUUCUAGGAGGUGGAGAAAUUUCAUGUGGGUGGUGUAUGCUGUAUCCCCACCAUGCAUACACUUCCAUGAAAACUCACCGAUAUAGAUCGUCUGUCCCAAAAUGAUAUUUUUAACCCUGUCCCAAUCAAUUAGAGAUUAGAAAUGAAAAAUCACAUGAAUAAAUAUUUUUUAGUGAAGAGUAAUGUAUAUUUUUAAAUAAUAUGGCACAAUGCUAUUGACUGAGAUAGAGUCGGGGACACCAUUUUGGACAAGUGAUCUCCAUCCAAACUCAAUAUUUAACUUUUGAUGGUUAAGUUU